CCCCUAGAUGUUCUGGGCCGCACGCGCGCUACACUGAACAGUUCAACAAGUCUUAACCUUGGCCGAUAGGUCUGGGUAAUCUUUGAACGCUGUUCGUGAUUGGGAUAGACCUUUGCAAUUAUGGGUCUUCAACGAGGAAUUCCUAGUAAACGCAAGUCAUCAGCUUGCAUUGAUUACGUCCCUGCCCUUUGUACACACCGCCCGUCGCACCUACCGAUUGAAUGGUCCGGUGAAAUCUCGGAUCGAGCCGUGGGGCAACUCCGGUUCGAGAAGUUGAUUAAACCUUACCAUUUAGAGGAAGGUGAAGUCGUAACA
This 315-nucleotide ribosomal RNA is filed under the name uncultured eukaryote. RNAcentral's name for it is "partial 18S ribosomal RNA". It matches the Rfam family "Eukaryotic small subunit ribosomal RNA", at positions 1470 to 1796 of the family's 1831-position model. The record is from RNAcentral.